UGUUGGUGAUAUGGACAAUCCCUAAGAAGAGACUUGAAUUUUUCCCAUGCAUGAUAGAGGUUCUCAUCUGCCUUUUGUUUGAAAAUUAGGAUCUCACUCAUAAACA
Capsicum annuum is the source of this 106-nucleotide non-coding RNA. The record is from Rfam. NCBI's taxonomy places the organism in Eukaryota, Viridiplantae, Streptophyta, Magnoliopsida, Solanales, Solanaceae.